ACCGGAAGUGAUAAAUAAUGGAAGACCGAUGCCGGAGCUAAAAGAUUUGCUUCAAACGACAGGACAGAAGAUAAGCUCUUUUCAAACGGAGUGGUACAUCGGAAAAAAACGCCUUUUCCGCUUUCCCUGCCUUUUGUUCUCAACGAAUCACAAUGUCUGGACUACAACGGGAUUUUGUGACUUAAAAAUAUACCAAGAAGCCUCAGCAGACAUGAACUUCAACUACUCACAUUCAAAGCCAAAUUGCUUUUAAAAAUUUUUGGAAGCGCAAGGAUAGAUUUGGCUUUGAACGAACAGCGGAGACUAAAUAUUAUCAUCCACAACGCUAAGAAGUAUACGAGACAACGGAUGCCACAAACAAAGCCCAGAUCUGUCAUUUUGCGUUAUGUGGCGUGAAGUGAGCUGUCCCGUGAAGUAAAGACACCACAUUUGUCCCACCUUUCACACAGAGACUGCAGAUUAACUUCCCCUCGCUGACUGAAUAGAGCUC
Ictalurus furcatus (blue catfish) is the source of this 490-nucleotide long non-coding RNA. RefSeq lists it as uncharacterized. The record is from RefSeq and is a predicted model, not a curated record. The transcript is spliced from 3 exons. NCBI's taxonomy places the organism in Eukaryota, Metazoa, Chordata, Actinopteri, Siluriformes, Ictaluridae.